AUUGAACGCUGGCGGCAGGCUUAACACAUGCAAGUCGAGCGGGGGAAGGUAGCUUGCUACCGGACCUAGCGGCGGACGGGUGAGUAAUGCUUAGGAAUCUGCCUAUUAGUGGGGGACAACAUCUCGAAAGGGAUGCUAAUACCGCAUACGUCCUACGGGAGAAAGCAGGGGAUCUUCGGACCUUGCGCUAAUAGAUGAGCCUAAGUCGGAUUAGCUAGUUGGUGGGGUAAAGGCCUACCAAGGCGACGAUCUGUAGCGGGUCUGAGAGGAUGAUCCGACACACUGGGACUGAGACACGGCCCAGACUCCUACGGGAGGCAGCAGUGGGGAAUAUUGGACAAUGGGGGGUACCCUGAUCCAGCCAUGCCGCGUGUGUGAAGAAGGCCUUAUGGUUGUAAAGCACUUUAAGCGAGGAGGAGGCUACUCUAGUUAAUACCUAGGGAUAGUGGACGUUACUCGCAGAAUAAGCACCGGCUAACUCUGUGCCAGCAGCCGCAGUAA
This 501-nucleotide ribosomal RNA is filed under the name uncultured bacterium. Its description in RNAcentral is "partial 16S ribosomal RNA". It matches the Rfam family "Bacterial small subunit ribosomal RNA", at positions 30 to 523 of the family's 1533-position model. The record is from RNAcentral.